AAAAACAUAGCCUUUAGCCAAACAAGUAUUAAAGGUCUAGCCUGCCCAGUGAAUUAUUUCAACGGCCGCGGUAUCCUAACCGUGCAAAGGUAGCGUAAUCAUUUGUCUUCUAAAUAGAGACUUGUAUGAACGGCUAACUGAGGGCCCAACUGUCUCCUUAGACCAAUCAAUGAAACUGAUCUUUCAGUACAAAAGCUGAAAUAAACACAUAAGACGAGAAGACCCUGUGGAGCUUAAAACCUACACUAUAAACACCCACCCACCCCCAAAGGGACACCUCCCUCCCCAUAGUAAAAAGUUUUUAGUUGGGGCGACUUUGGAACAAAACAGAACUUCCAUGCCAGGGACCCCUCCCUAUAAAGGCUUACAUGCCAAAAUAAUAUUCUUUUGACCCAGCCUGUCUGAUCAACGAACCAAGUUACCCCAGGGAUAACAGCGCCAUCCUCUUCAAGAGUUCCUAUCGACAAGAGGGUUUACGACCUCGAUGUUGGAUCAGGACACCCCGGUGGUGUAGCCGCUACCAAAGGUUCGUUUGUUCAACGAUUAACAGU
Molecule: ribosomal RNA, 551 nt
Filed under: Woodworthia maculata (Raukawa gecko)
Lineage: Eukaryota; Metazoa; Chordata; Lepidosauria; Squamata; Diplodactylidae
Description: partial 16S ribosomal RNA
Rfam family: Bacterial large subunit ribosomal RNA
Source: RNAcentral